This 433-nucleotide ribosomal RNA is filed under the name uncultured bacterium. RNAcentral's name for it is "partial 16S ribosomal RNA". It matches the Rfam family "Bacterial small subunit ribosomal RNA", at positions 29 to 507 of the family's 1533-position model. The record is from RNAcentral.
AACGAACGCUGGCGGCAUGCCUAACACAUGCAAGUCGAACGAGACCUUCGGGUCUAGUGGCGCACGGGUGCGUGACGCGUGGGAAUCUGCCCUUGGGUUCGGAAUAACAGUUGGAAACGACUGCUAAUACCGGAUGAUGACGUAAGUCCAAAGAUUUAUCGCCCAAGGAUGAGCCCGCGUAGGAUUAGCUAGUUGGUGAGGUAAAGGCUCACCAAGGCGACGAUCCUUAGCUGGUCUGAGAGGAUGAUCAGCCACACUGGGACUGAGACACGGCCCAGACUCCUACGGGAGGCAGCAGUGGGGAAUAUUGGACAAUGGGCGAAAGCCUGAUCCAGCAAUGCCGCGUGAGUGAUGAAGGCCUUAGGGUUGUAAAGCUCUUUUACCCGGGAUGAUAAUGACAGUACCGGGAGAAUAAGCUCCGGCUAACUCCGUG